Molecule: ribosomal RNA, 443 nt
Filed under: uncultured bacterium
Lineage: Bacteria
Description: partial 16S ribosomal RNA
Rfam family: Bacterial small subunit ribosomal RNA
Source: RNAcentral
CCUACGGGGGGCAGCAGUGGGGAAUAUUGCGCAAUGGGGGCAACCCUGACGCAGCAACGCCGCGUGAUUGAAGAAGGCCUUCGGGUUGUAAAGAUCUUUAAUUGGGGACGAAACAAAUGACGGUACCCAAAGAAUAAGCUCCGGCUAACUACGUGACAGCAGCCGCGGUAAGACGUAGGGAGCAAGCGUUAUCCGGAUUUACUGGGUGUAAAGGGCGAGUAGGCGGGCUGGCAAGUUGGGAGUGAAAUCCCGGGGCUUAACCCCGGAACUGCUUUCAAAACUGCUGGUCUUGAGUGAUGGAGAGGCAGGCGGAAUUCCGGGUGUAGCGGUGAAAUGCGUAGAUAUUAGGAGGAACACCAGAGGCGAAGGCGGCUCACUGGACUGUAACUGACGUUGAGGCUCGAAAGCGUGGGGAGCAAACAGGAUUAGAUACCCCAGUAGUC